RNAcentral lists this ribosomal RNA (250 nucleotides) under uncultured crenarchaeote. RNAcentral describes it as "partial 16S ribosomal RNA". It matches the Rfam family "Archaeal small subunit ribosomal RNA", at positions 478 to 726 of the family's 1478-position model. Lineage: Archaea; Thermoproteati; Thermoproteota. The record is from RNAcentral.
AGCACCUCAAGUGGUCAGGAUGAUUAUUGGGCCUAAAGCAUCCGUAGCUCGUUUUGUUAAGUUUUCGGUUUAAAUCCAUGCGCUUAACGUAUGGGCUGCCGGGAAUACUGCAUAACUAGGAAGUGGGAGAGGUAGACGGUACUCGGUAGGAAGGGGUAAAAUCCUUUGAUCUAUUGAUGACCACCUGUGGCGAAGGCGGUCUACCAGAACACGUUCGACGGUGAGGGAUGAAAGCUGGGGGAGCAAACCC